Molecule: long non-coding RNA, 676 nt
Filed under: Mytilus galloprovincialis (Mediterranean mussel)
Lineage: Eukaryota; Metazoa; Mollusca; Bivalvia; Mytilida; Mytilidae
Source: RNAcentral
UUACCUGUAACAACGAAAUCUACUGAAAUUGGUAUCACACUAAUGAUAAUGAAUCCAUAGUAAACAAGAAUGUGUCCAAAGUACAUGGACGCUCUACUCGCACUAUUAUUUUCCAUGUUCAGUGGACCGGGAAAUUGGGGUAAAAAAUCUAUUUUGUUUAACCUGAUCCAGGACAGACAAAUGAACGAACGAACGAACCAACGAGCGUACGCACAGACCAGAAAACAUAAUGCCCCUCUACUAUCGUAGGUGGGGCAUAAAAAUAUCCUUCAUUAAAUCAAGCAGCCUGGUGUAAAAUCACAUUUUUGUUAUCCAAAAUAUUUAUUGAAAUUUCAAUAUGUUACCUCCUAGACGUAAUAAAUAAACAAAGAUCCACACAUUGCCUUAAAGCUCAGUCUUCCCAAAUAAGAGUUGUUGUUGGAGAUGACGGGUGCCUUACAUUUGCAUUCAUUUAGGUAAUAAAAAAUAAAUGCAUUUUCAGGACCGUAUAAUUAUAAUGUGAUAUGCAUAUAAACCCUGCUUUGCACUAGACGUUCAAAGUGAGCUGAAUUAAUUCUAGAUUUAGUUCUCCAGAAAACAGUCGGCACGAAGAACUGUCAUCCAACCCAGACAUAUUAUUCUGAUUUGAGAUGACUAGUUCUAACUCAUAUAUGCCAUGUGAUAAGCAGGACAACUA